GUCUCUUCGGUAUCACGUGGAGUCGGAGAUCUUCCCAGUGGGUGUACGCAUCUAAACGGGGGCGGUAAUGAGUCCAAAGGUAGCUAAAUUACUGGACCAGUAAUUCUGGUUCAUACAUUAAAAAGUGAAGGGGCUGACGAGUCUUUAACUGUCUCUAAACAAAUUCGUUGGAAAUUUAGUUGAAAGUGCAAACGCUUUCGUGGGUUAGAAAGACGAGAAGACCCUAUGAAGUUUUUCUAGCGGUUCCCGGGAUUACACGGACUUAGGCCCUUUAUUAUUUACGGGACUACGAUAGGGUGCUCUACCGGUUUACUUGGUCACACCAUAAAUCGAGUUUGUCGGAUUCCUAGAGUAAUUCGGUGUAGGCUCCCUGGGCGUAGCUUUUGCUGGGGCAGCAGGAGAGCAGAACUAGCCUCUACCGCUGGUAAGAGAAGCUGAUAUGCCGUUGAUCCACUGGAGAAAAGGAGGCGAUCAGGAGAAAGAGUUACUCUAGGGAUAACAGCGUAAUUUUGCCUAUUGAGGACGUAUUGAUAGGCAAGGUUGCGACCUCGAUGUUGGCUCUGGGUAUCCGUGGACAUAGCAGGAGGUCCAAAUGGUUGGUUUGUUCGCCCAUUAAAACCCGACG
Molecule: ribosomal RNA, 625 nt
Filed under: Spondylus ambiguus
Lineage: Eukaryota; Metazoa; Mollusca; Bivalvia; Pectinida; Spondylidae
Description: partial 16S ribosomal RNA
Rfam family: Bacterial large subunit ribosomal RNA
Source: RNAcentral